UACGGAGGGAGCUAGCGUUGUUCGGAAAUACUGGGCGUAAAGCGCACGUAGGCGGCGCAGCAAGUCAGGGGUGAAAUCCCGGGGCUCAACCCCGGAACUGCCUCUGAAACUGCAGUGCUAGAAUCUUGGAGGGGCGAGUGGAAUUCCGAGUGUAGAGGUGAAAUUCGUAGAUAUUCGGAAGAACACCAGUGGCGAAGGCGACUCGCUGGACAAGUAUUGACGCUGAGGUGCGAAAGCGUGGGGAGCAAACAGG
Molecule: ribosomal RNA, 253 nt
Filed under: uncultured bacterium
Lineage: Bacteria
Description: partial 16S ribosomal RNA
Rfam family: Bacterial small subunit ribosomal RNA
Source: RNAcentral